Dromaius novaehollandiae (emu) is the source of this 2302-nucleotide long non-coding RNA. RefSeq lists it as uncharacterized. The record is from RefSeq and is a predicted model, not a curated record. NCBI's taxonomy places the organism in Eukaryota, Metazoa, Chordata, Aves, Casuariiformes, Dromaiidae. The transcript is spliced from 7 exons.
CCUGAUUAAGAAAGUUAUUGUCUGGAGGCUGUAUUUGCAUGACAGCAAAUAAGGUCAACCUGCAUUGUCCAGUGUUGAGGAAAAAAUAACCUUUGGAGAAAAGGAAGGCAAAUUGCCCUGUUCUGAGUCAUCAGGAGCUGUUAUGCUGAAGGAAGGAGACAUUCUUGAGGAAAAAGUUGCUGGCACUGUUCUACAGCAAGGGAAAAGCUGCAUUAUACUCUUAAGAUCAUCGUAAGAACUCCCUCAGAAAUCUCAUCCUCAUUUUCUUUACUGUUUUGCAAAUACUGAAGAAUCUCUACAAAAAAAGAGAGUUUUGUGGACAACCAAAAGUCGACAACACAACCAUAGGAGGAGAAAAGAAGUUCUGGAAAGGACCCUACUCAUGAAUCUGGUUAGGUUUAAAAUCCAUUUGGGGUUUGCUAUGUACAUGGGCCAGUGUCUGUGAGAAUGCCAGCGAAAUAUGAAAAGGUCUGAGGAGCAAGCUAUUGGAAGCCGUGCCAAGGAAAAUAAACACUGACAAGGACAGAGGAAAAACAGAUUUUUUUAAAUAAGACAGAUGUCUCCAAAUCAAGAAGGCUUCAUGAAAUCUUUUCUUGACUGUUUCAGGAGCUAGUCAAAACAGUCUUUCGAGUCAUUGGCAAUCAUCUUUGAGAACUUAUGGAGGACAGGGAGAAAAAGCAGGAGGAGGAAGAGAAGGAGGAGAAGGAGGAGACUGAUGGAAGAGGUACCAAAACCAAAAGAGUUGAGAGGGGACCAAUCCAGCUGCUAUGAAUAAUUUCAGGAUAGUUCACCACCAAAGCUCAAAAGCCUUGGAUUAAAUUCCAAAGAACCUUCACCUUGGUCCAUAUAUCUGAGAUAUAAUGUUGGAGCUCACAUAUGAGUACUAUGGAGAGGAAAAAAUUGAUUCCUCAGAAAAGAAGCACGUAACUUCACUGAAAUCAGCAGCAAUUCACAAAGGAUAAACUGAGCCUCUGUCUCAACUACCUUCAAUGUAAUUAUGAUGCCAUCUUGGAAACUUCAGGCUCACAGCCAAGAAAAACAUACUAGCCAGACAGCUCAUACUAAACCACUGCUAAUUAUUUCAAUCAAAUAAAAAUAGUGACAACAGGAAACAUUCAUAUUUAUUUUCAAUAUAUGAGAGCAGUGAGGGAGAGAAAAAGGGACUUAGUAAUGCAGGUUUCUAAAUAACAAAUAAGUUUUAUUGGGGGUAUCACAAACUUCAGCUGGGCUGCAAAUUCUUUACUGAAUAAUAACAUUCAGGGUCUUGUUUUUCUACAACAACCUACAUACCACAGCUUUUCCAAAUACUCUACAAGUUCCCCAGACAUUUCAUUGUGUUCUCCAGUUCAAUACAUGUGUAUUUGAGCUGUCUCUCGGCAUACUCGAAAUCCAGUGGAUUUCCACGCAAGCCUUGUGGCAAGCAUGCCUUUGCUCACAGCACCGGGGCCCACUCAGCUGCACUGAAACAGCUCCAUUAAGACAGGAAGGGACACAGGUCACCCAGUAUGCAACAACCCGAAAAAAGUGGGAUGCUGCAUCAAUAAGACAUGUGCAGCCUGAAUUACAGCGACUUAAGUCACUGGAAAGGCCCCUAUUGAUUUCAAUGGUUUUGGUGGUAUCCAUACUUUUUGAGAAACUGUUGCAAAUAAGAUUUAGAUCAUUUGACUUGCAGCCAUUUACUUUUACAACUAGCACUCCCUCCUGAAGGUAAUUUUCAUGGGAGUCAGCCAUCUACCUCAGAAGGAUUAAAAGACUAAGUUGCCAUAUAGAAAAAAAAUGGAUCACAGGACCCCAGCUAUGUGAAAUAUGGCAGAUUUAUGAGGCUUCCAGUAUACUCAAGUUGACUCUCAAUCCUCACAGCUAAUUGUGAUCCAACACGGAAGUAUGAACUAACAGUAGCAAACAGACUUUUAGAUUCAUGAACAAACUUAGCAAAAAAUCGAUGUAUUUGUUAUUCAUAAUAUUUCUAUGGACAUUUCCCAGAAAUAUAUUUUAGAAUGUGUAUUUUUCACCAAAAAAAAAAAAAAAAUCCUUGCAACCUGUACUCCGGAGUUUAUUAACAAAAAAGCAAAUCCUCAAAUUCACAAAGUGUUUUGUCAGCUCCAAAUGGAUGAUAAGUUUUCAAAAACAGGCAAAAGAAAUGAGCAAGGCACUUGUGGUAGGAACAUCUGAUGAACAUUUGCUCAUAAUUAUUCAUUCAGGCAUUCUGGAAUUUCCCUGUCAUGGACAGUCUUCCAAACACAACGUCAUGCAUAUGAAUGUGCAUGAAAAGCAAAUAAAAAGAUGCACUUAUAUCUUUGAA